AGUGAACGCUGGCGGUAGGCCUAACACAUGCAAGUCGAACGGCAGCACAGUAAGAGCUUGCUCUUACGGGUGGCGAGUGGCGGACGGGUGAGGAAUACAUCGGAAUCUACUUUCUCGUGGGGGAUAACGUAGGGAAACUUACGCUAAUACCGCAUACGACCUACGGGUGAAAGCAGGGGAUCUUCGGACCUUGCGCGAUUGAAUGAGCCGAUGUCGGAUUAGCUAGUUGGCGGGGUAAAGGCCCACCAAGGCGACGAUCCGUAGCUGGUCUGAGAGGAUGAUCAGCCACACUGGAACUGAGACACGGUCCAGACUCCUACGGGAGGCAGCAGUGGGGAAUAUUGGACAAUGGGCGCAAGCCUGAUCCAGCCAUACCGCGUGGGUGAAGAAGGCCUUCGGGUUGUAAAGCCCUUUUGUUGGGAAAGAAAAGCAGCAGGUGAAUACCCCGCUGUUCUGACGGUACCCAAAGAAUAAGCACCGGCUAACUUCGUG
This 492-nucleotide ribosomal RNA is filed under the name uncultured bacterium. RNAcentral describes it as "partial 16S ribosomal RNA". It matches the Rfam family "Bacterial small subunit ribosomal RNA", at positions 29 to 507 of the family's 1533-position model. The record is from RNAcentral.